RNAcentral lists this ribosomal RNA (497 nucleotides) under uncultured bacterium. Its description in RNAcentral is "partial 16S ribosomal RNA". It matches the Rfam family "Bacterial small subunit ribosomal RNA", at positions 28 to 507 of the family's 1533-position model. The record is from RNAcentral.
GAUGAACGCUGGCGGCGUGCCUAAUACAUGCAAGUCGAGCGAACGGACGAGAAGCUUGCUUCUCUGAUGUUAGCGGCGGACGGGUGAGUAACACGUGGAUAACCUACCUAUAAGACUGGGAUAACUUCGGGAAACCGGAGCUAAUUCCGGAUAAUAUUUUGAACCGCAUGGUUCAAAAGUGAAAGACGGUCUUGCUGUCACUUAUAGAUGGAUCCGCGCUGCAUUAGCUAGUUGGUAAGGUAACGGCUUACCAAGGCAACGAUGCAUAGCCGACCUGAGAGGGUGAUCGGCCACACUGGAACUGAGACACGGUCCAGACUCCUACGGGAGGCAGCAGUAGGGAAUCUUCCGCAAUGGGCGAAAGCCUGACGGAGCAACGCCGCGUGAGUGAUGAAGGUCUUCGGAUCGUAAAACUCUGUUAUUAGGGAAGAACAUAUGUGUAAGUAACUGUGCACAUCUUGACGAUACCUAAUCAGAAAGCCACGGCUAACUACGUG